This 1230-nucleotide long non-coding RNA is filed under the name Phoenix dactylifera (date palm). Its description in RNAcentral is "long non-coding RNA (PDAC_LNC005282)". Lineage: Eukaryota; Viridiplantae; Streptophyta; Magnoliopsida; Arecales; Arecaceae. The record is from RNAcentral.
AAAAACUCAAAUUAAUUAAUUAACAUUUUCAUAAAUAGUAAGAUUAUUUUUUUAAGAGAAAACGAACUAAAAAAAAAAAGAGAUAGUGGCUUAGCUUUUUCUUUUGGUUUUUUGGGCUGCAGGGCAGUGGAAAUGGAAGGAGCCACAGUGGCUGCUGCAGCACCACUCUUACCAGUCUUUCUUCGCAGAGGGAUCCACACCACACUGCAGUAGAUCGAGCAAAUCAAAACUAUAUUGAGAAAAAAAAAGAGAGAGAAAAAAUAUAAAAAGAUGAAAAAUAAAAAAGAAGUUGAUCUUACCGUGCAUCUUCUUCUUCUCUUCCUUGGAGAUUCUCUAGUUCUUGCUGAAAGGAUGGAAAAUCAAGAGACAGAGGAGAGAAAUCGGAAUAGAAAGGGUUUUAGUCUUUGAGAUGAGGUAUCUUGAAGAAGCUGAUGGAGGUUUUAACUUUUGAGGGAGUUAGGGUUUGAGGAAGACUAGAUCGUUGAGGAAAGAAGCUCGGAGUCUGUCGAUCUAGAGGGAUUUAGAGCCUUAGAGGUCAAUCUUUCCCAUGCAGCAAGAUUUCAGGCUCUCACCGCUCGGAGUUGGUUGAUCAGUUGAUGGAAGCGGCAAAGGUGUGAAUGGGUAGGCUAGUAGUUUAGUCAAUAGAAGAAAACCUGGAAACCCUAAGGAACGGGGGUCGGUGGAUGGAAGAACUGAAGAACCUCAAAACCCUCAAAGACUAGAUGGAAUGUGGCGGAGAACCAGAGAAGAAGUUGCUAGAGAAGAGAAUAGAGAUGGACAGACUCAUGGAGUACCUAUAGUGAUCGGUGGAUGGAAGAACCGAAGAACCUCAAAACCCUCAAGGAUGAAAGAUCGGAUGGUAAGUGGAACAGGGGAAGAGAACCAGCGUCCAGGGAAGAAGUCUCUAGAGAAGAGAUCGAGAGAAUGGAGACGGACAACGACGGACUGAUGAAGAAUGGACAGUGGACUGGAGAAUGCAGUACGGCGCCUGAGUAGGACCACGUGGGCGGCCGAAGGCCAGAAGGCAGGAUUUAGGCAUUUAGCUUUAUAUAGUAACGGGUCGGGUCGGGUCCCGGAUCAAGAUUGGGUGGACCCGACCCGAAAAAUAGAUCGGGUCUAAAUUUAGGACCCGACCCGGCCCCGCGGGUCCUAAAAUUCGGGUCGGGUCGGGUCUAAAGCGGGUCGGGUCGGGUCGGGUCCCGGGUCGACCCGACCCAUUUGCAGCCUUAG